RNAcentral lists this ribosomal RNA (235 nucleotides) under uncultured fungus. RNAcentral describes it as "partial 18S ribosomal RNA". It matches the Rfam family "Eukaryotic small subunit ribosomal RNA", at positions 40 to 274 of the family's 1831-position model. Lineage: Eukaryota; Fungi. The record is from RNAcentral.
AAGAUUAAGCCAUGCAUGUCCAAGUAUAAACCAAAUUAUACGGUGAAACUGCGAAUGGCUCAUUAUAUCAGUUAUGGUUUAUUUGAUGAUACCUACCACUUGGAUAACCGUGGUAAUUCUAGAGCUAAUACAUGCACUAGUGUCCCGACUUCAGGAAGGGACGUAUUUAUUAGGUAAAAGCCAACCCGUAGCAAUUACGGUCUCUGGCGACUCAUGAUAACUUUGCGAAUCGCAU